Molecule: small nuclear RNA, 107 nt
Organism: Phyllostomus discolor (pale spear-nosed bat)
Lineage: Eukaryota; Metazoa; Chordata; Mammalia; Chiroptera; Phyllostomidae
Source: RefSeq, a predicted model, not a curated record
AUGCUCGCUUUGGCAGCACACACACUAAAAUUGGAACGAUAUGGAGAAGAUUAGCAUGGCCCCUGCGCAGGGGUGAUACGCAAAUUCAUGAAGCAAUCCAUAUUUUU